RNAcentral lists this ribosomal RNA (1317 nucleotides) under Enterobacter hormaechei. RNAcentral's name for it is "partial 23S ribosomal RNA". It matches the Rfam family "Bacterial large subunit ribosomal RNA", at positions 166 to 1528 of the family's 2925-position model. The record is from RNAcentral. Lineage: Bacteria; Pseudomonadati; Pseudomonadota; Gammaproteobacteria; Enterobacterales; Enterobacteriaceae. RNAcentral also lists the same sequence under 1 other name.
AUAGGUUAACGAGGCGAACCGGGGGAACUGAAACAUCUAAGUACCCCGAGGAAAAGAAAUCAACCGAGAUUCCCCCAGUAGCGGCGAGCGAACGGGGAGCAGCCCGGAGUCUGAAUCAGCUUGUGUGUUAGUGGAACGGUCUGGAAAGUCCGACGGUACAGGGUGAUAGUCCCGUACACGAAAACACACUUGCUGUGAACUCGAAGAGUAGGGCGGGACACGUGGUAUCCUGUCUGAAUAUGGGGGGACCAUCCUCCAAGGCUAAAUACUCCUGACUGACCGAUAGUGAACCAGUACCGUGAGGGAAAGGCGAAAAGAACCCCGGCGAGGGGAGUGAAAAAGAACCUGAAACCGUGUACGUACAAGCAGUGGGAGCCUCUUUAUGGGGUGACUGCGUACCUUUUGUAUAAUGGGUCAGCGACUUAUAUUCUGUAGCAAGGUUAACCGUAUAGGGGAGCCGAAGGGAAACCGAGUCUUAACUGGGCGUUAAGUUGCAGGGUAUAGACCCGAAACCCGGUGAUCUAGCCAUGGGCAGGUUGAAGGUUGGGUAACACUAACUGGAGGACCGAACCGACUAAUGUUGAAAAAUUAGCGGAUGACCUGUGGCUGGGGGUGAAAGGCCAAUCAAACCGGGAGAUAGCUGGUUCUCCCCGAAAGCUAUUUAGGUAGCGCCUCGUGAACUCAUCUUCGGGGGUAGAGCACUGUUUCGGCUAGGGGGCCAUCCCGGCUUACCAACCCGAUGCAAACUACGAAUACCGAAGAAUGUUAUCACGGGAGACACACGGCGGGUGCUAACGUCCGUCGUGAAGAGGGAAACAACCCAGACCGCCAGCUAAGGUCCCAAAGUCAUGGUUAAGUGGGAAACGAUGUGGGAAGGCACAGACAGCCAGGAUGUUGGCUUAGAAGCAGCCAUCAUUUAAAGAAAGCGUAAUAGCUCACUGGUCGAGUCGGCCUGCGCGGAAGAUGUAACGGGGCUAAACCAUGCACCGAAGCUGCGGCAGCGACACUAUGUGUUGUUGGGUAGGGGAGCGUUCUGUAAGCCGUUGAAGGUGUGCUGUGAGGCAUGCUGGAGGUAUCAGAAGUGCGAAUGCUGACAUAAGUAACGAUAAAGCGGGUGAAAAGCCCGCUCGCCGGAAGACCAAGGGUUCCUGUCCAACGUUAAUCGGGGCAGGGUGAGUCGACCCCUAAGGCGAGGCCGAAAGGCGUAGUCGAUGGGAAACAGGUUAAUAUUCCUGUACUUGGUGUUACUGCGAAGGGGGGACGGAGAAGGCUAUGUCAGCCGGGCGACGGUUGUCCCGGUUUAAGCAUGUAGGCGGA